RNAcentral lists this transfer RNA (84 nucleotides) under Gemmatimonadaceae bacterium. RNAcentral's name for it is "tRNA-Leu". It matches the Rfam family "tRNA". Rfam says of the family: Transfer RNA (tRNA) molecules are approximately 80 nucleotides in length. Their secondary structure includes four short double-helical elements and three loops (D, anti-codon, and T loops). Further hydrogen bonds mediate the characteristic L-shaped molecular structure. tRNAs have two regions of fundamental functional importance: the anti-codon, which is responsible for specific mRNA codon recognition, and the 3' end, to which the tRNAs corresponding amino acid is attached (by aminoacyl-tRNA synthetases). tRNAs cope with the degeneracy of the genetic code in two manners: having more than one tRNA (with a specific anti-codon) for a particular amino acid; and 'wobble' base-pairing, i.e. permitting non-standard base-pairing at the 3rd anti-codon position. Lineage: Bacteria; Pseudomonadati; Gemmatimonadota; Gemmatimonadia; Gemmatimonadales; Gemmatimonadaceae. The record is from RNAcentral.
GCUCGGGUGGCGAAACUGGUAGACGCGAGGGACUUAAAAUCCCUUGGGAGCGAUCCCAUGUCGGUUCGAAACCGGCCCCGAGCA